CUCCUUGCCAGCAGCCGCGGUAAUACGGAGGGGGUUAGCGUUGUUCGGAAUUACUGGGCGUAAAGCGCACGUAGGCUGAUUAGUCAGUCAGAGGUGAAAUCCCAGGGCUCAACCCUGGAACUGCCUUUGAUACUGCUAGUCUUGAGUUCGAGAGAGGUAAGUGGAAUUCCGAGUGUAGAGGUGAAAUUCGUAAAUAUUCGGAGGAACACCAGUGGCGAAGGCGGCUUACUGGCUCGAUACUGACGCUUAGGUGCGAAAGUGUGGGGAGCAAACAGGAUUAGAUACCCUGGUAGUCCACACCGUAAACGAUGAAGGCCAGUCGUCGGGUAGCACGCUAUUCGGUGACACACCUAAGGGAUUAAGCUUUUCCCCCGGGG
This 377-nucleotide ribosomal RNA is filed under the name uncultured bacterium. RNAcentral's name for it is "bacterial SSU rRNA". It matches the Rfam family "Bacterial small subunit ribosomal RNA", at positions 501 to 878 of the family's 1533-position model. The record is from RNAcentral.